Molecule: long non-coding RNA, 546 nt
Organism: Pseudophryne corroboree (corroboree frog)
Lineage: Eukaryota; Metazoa; Chordata; Amphibia; Anura; Myobatrachidae
Exons: 3
Source: RefSeq, a predicted model, not a curated record
CACGUCACAUGCAGAGAGCAGGAGAGGAGCCUAGUUGAAAUCAUGAAGUGCACGGCCGUCCACUCCAGACAAUAUGCAACAUCACAAAACAGGCCCCUCUGAAGCACUGCAGCAGGGUUCGUCGUAGCGUCAUUAUGUCAGAGGAGAUUGGGAAUUUGCUAAAGGCACUUCCAAAAGGUCAAUCGGAAGGCAAAGAUGAGGGCGAUAUUUCAAGAAACAGUGAUUCUGAUAAUGAUGCAAGAAAGAGCGCAGCAGAGUGUUCAGAAAAAUUGGUGGAGAUUGACAAUGAUGGUCCUGAUGACCCUUCACCUGUGUGUGGUCACAGAAAAGGUGUCACCUUGUCCAGAUGACAUCCACGUGAUCGAGGUGCUAGAGAUGGUUCAGCUGCUAGGCUUCAUGGUGCUGAUGCAGCUGCUACGGUGCAUUCUGCAAUAUGUCAAUAAUGACCAGGAUAUAGCAGGAGACAAUGCCGGUGAUGCUCAUGAUGAAGCACAGGAUGCAGGACUAUAACUUUCUGAGAUGACUGUACUUGAUGUUUAAAUAAAA